RNAcentral lists this ribosomal RNA (1184 nucleotides) under Heliogomphus retroflexus. RNAcentral describes it as "partial 16S ribosomal RNA". Lineage: Eukaryota; Metazoa; Arthropoda; Insecta; Odonata; Gomphidae. The record is from RNAcentral.
UAUUUAUAUUCUUACUUUAUUUGUUUGUGUCUAUUAUUAAGAGAAAUAUCUUUAUUUUUAGUAUAUUAAAGAACUAAGGAUUAAUAUUGUUAUAGUUUAUUAGUACCGUAAGGGAAUUGAUGAAAUAUGUUGAAAAUUGAAGUUUUAAUAAGUAGAUUUUAUUUAUUGUACCUUUUGUAUCAGGGUUAAUUAAUUAUUUUUAAUCUAUUUUAUUGUCUCGAUUUCAGAAGAGCUAGUUUUAAAUUAUAGUUGUUGUUUCAUAACCAUUGUAUAUUUAAUUUUAGGGGAGAAAUUCCAUUCGAUUUUAAAGGUAUCUAGUUUUUUAAGAAUUAAAUUUAAUUUAGGUUUAUUUGUUAAUUAAUUUAUUUAUGAGUUGAUUAUUAGAUAAGGCUGAAAUAUUAGGGGACAAGCUCUAAUUUUUUCCUAUAAUUUUCGUUUAAUUUAAUUUUUGUAGGGUUUAAACCAUCCAUCAUUAAAGAGUUCGUUAUAGUUUAUAUUGAAUUAAUUUGAUUUUCUUUUAUUUAGUAUCUUAUUAAAAUAUAAUUUUUAAUUUUAAAAAUUUUGUAAUAAUGAUUGAAUUAGUAUAAUUGUUUUGUGAAAUAUUUAUUUAUUGUUAUAAUUAAAUAAGGAAUUCGGCAAAAAUAACAGUCGCCUGUUUAUCAAAAACAUGUCCUCUUGAUUUGUGUAUGAGGUCUGACCUGCCCGGUGAAUUGUUUUUAACGGCCGCGGUAUUUUGACCGUGCAAAGGUAGCAUAAUCAUUAGUCUUUUAAUAGGAGGCUGGUAUGAAGGGUUUGACGAGCUGUUGGCUGUCUCAUUUAAUUUGAUGUUAAAAUUUAACUUUUCAGUCAAAAGGCUGAACUUAUAUUGGAAGACGAGAAGACCCUAUAGAGCUUUAUAAUUGAAAUCUCGAUUAAUCUUUGUUUAUUAAUAUUUUUUGGGGUUUAAAUUAUUUUGUUGGGGUGACAAAAAUAUAUAAUCAACUUUUUUAUUUAGGUAACAUUGAUUUAUGGUUUAUAGAUCCAAUCUUAUUGAUUGUUAGUUUAAGUUACCUUAGGGAUAACAGCGUAAUCUUCCCUAGGAGUUCAUAUUUACGGGAAGGCUUGCGACCUCGAUGUUGGAUUAAGAUAAUAAUUAGGUGCAGCCGCUUAAUUAAUAGGUCUGUUCGACCUUUAAAUUCUUACAU